RNAcentral lists this ribosomal RNA (357 nucleotides) under uncultured bacterium. RNAcentral's name for it is "bacterial SSU rRNA". It matches the Rfam family "Bacterial small subunit ribosomal RNA", at positions 1 to 353 of the family's 1533-position model. The record is from RNAcentral.
UAGAGUUUGAUCCUGGCUCAGGAUGAACGCUGGCGGCGUGCCUAACACAUGCAAGUCGAACGGUGAUGGUUUGAUAUUUUCGGAUGGAUAAUCAUCAUAGUGGCGGACGGGUGAGUAACGCGUGGAUAACCUGCCUUUCACUGGGGGAUAGCAGCUGGAAACGGCUGGUAAUACCGCAUACGAUCCUUUAAUCGCAUGAUUGAAGGAAGAAAGAUUUAUCGGUGAGAGAUGGAUCCGCGUCUGAUUAGCCAGUUGGCGGGGUAACGGCCCACCAAAGCGACGAUCANUAGCCGGCCUGAGAGGGUGAUCGGCCACAUUGGGACUGAGACACGGCCCAAACUCCUACGGGAGGCAGCA